Non-coding RNA from Biomphalaria pfeifferi, 403 nucleotides. The record is from the annotation of a GenBank genome assembly. NCBI's taxonomy places the organism in Eukaryota, Metazoa, Mollusca, Gastropoda, Planorbidae.
AUUUUAGUGAUACCAAUAAAAAUUCUUGUAUUUAUAAUUAAUAACAACAAACAAAGACAAAUAAUCGUUAAGAUUGUCUUAGUACCAACAAGCUACACAUAUUUAAUAAGUAUCUAAUAUCUACAGUUCAAAUCUAACCCCCUUCCAGUUGAAGAGUUUAAACAAUCGAAAAGAGACGAUAGAAGGCAGUAACAUUCACAGUAUUAAUAAAGUUAUAACUGCAGGGUCAUAGCUAGACAUUUUCCAUCUUUUGGGGGCCCGGGAGGCUUGAGCUCUUUGGGGGCUCCUGCAUUUUGCAUAAAUUUAAUUUUUUAUGUAAAAAACACUCAUUAGGAGGCCCCCCUCAAGUGGGGGCCCGGGGAAAUUUUGAAAUUCUCCCCUCUCCUCUCCCCCCCCCCCCCCC